UACGGAGGGUGCAAGCGUUAAUCGGAAUUACUGGGCGUAAAGCGUGCGCAGGCGGUUUGUUAAGUCCGCUGUGAAAUCCCCGAGCUCAACUUGGGAAUUGCAGUGGAUACUGGCAAGCUGGAGUAUGGAAGAGGAAGGUGGAAUUCCCGGUGUAGCAGUGAAAUGCGUAGAGAUCGGGAGGAACACCAGUGGCGAAGGCGGCCUUCUGGACCAAUACUGACGCUCAUGCACGAAAGCGUGGGGAGCAAACAGG
This 253-nucleotide ribosomal RNA is filed under the name uncultured bacterium. RNAcentral describes it as "partial 16S ribosomal RNA". It matches the Rfam family "Bacterial small subunit ribosomal RNA", at positions 524 to 776 of the family's 1533-position model. The record is from RNAcentral.